Molecule: RNA transcript, 1993 nt
Organism: Zea mays
Lineage: Eukaryota; Viridiplantae; Streptophyta; Magnoliopsida; Poales; Poaceae
Gene name: chaperone protein dnaJ 49-like
Exons: 3
Source: RefSeq, marked provisional
AACAUAAAGAGAAAACCCAGCCAGCGAAAAGAAAUCGGCUCUCGAGUCGUCGGUCGUCGCCGUGUCGGUGUCGCUCGCCAUAUCCCCUUUUCCCCCUCCCUUCGUCUCCCGACUCCUGCGAUCCGCCCCACCUGAACCCUACUCCACGUCGCCUCGCCUCGCCGGUAAUCGACUUCCUUCUCUUGGCCCUUAUGCAAUCGGUUCGUACUCCAUGCUCGGAUUCUCCAUCUGAUCCCUAUAUACCAACUGCGCCGAUUGUAUUGUCUUAGGUUGGGUUGUGGCUGAGCCGAUCUGACCCGAUCGGGUGGGUCCUUGCGCCGCCGCUGCGUGGGCUCAUCUCGGUCCCCCGCCUGCUCGGCUCGAUCGGCCGGGGACGGCGGCGGCGGCGGCUAGAUCUGCGAUGGAGGGCAACAAGGACGACGCGGCCAAGUGCCUGCGCAUCGGCAAGGGCGCGCUCGAAGCCGGGGACCGCGCGCGCGCCAUCAAAUUUAUGUCCAAGGCAAAGCGCCUCGACCCCUCGCUGCCCAUCGAUGACCUGCUCACCUCCCUUCUCAACGCGCAAGACGACUCCCCGGCUUCCUCAUCAUCAUCGCCGCCUCCACCACCGCAAACUGCCGCAGCAGGGGCAUCGGAGGCAGCUGAGACUGAUGGGCUGAGAGAGAGGAAGCACAAGGGCAAGAAGAGGGAGGAGGAGGAGGAGGCGACUCCUGCUGCCAGGGAGUACACCGCGGAGCAGCUCGAGGUUGUGCGCCAGGUCAAGAAGCACACCAGGGACUACUACCAGAUCCUCGGCCUGGAAAAGGACUGCAGUGUCGAGGACGUGCGCAAGGCCUACCGGAAGCUCUCGCUCAAGGUGCACCCCGACAAGAACAAGGCCCCUGGCGCAGAGGACGCCUUCAAGGCCGUCUCCAAGGCCUUCCAGUGCCUGAGUGAUGCGGAGAGCCGCAAGCGCUACGACCUUGUUGGCUCGGAUGAGCCAGUAACACACCACAGGAGGGCCUCCACUGCCCGUGCAUACAAUGGGUUCUAUGAGGAUGACUUUGACCCAGAUGAGAUAUUCAGAAACUUCUUCUUUGGCGGUAUGGCGCCUGCAACCACCAGGCAGUUUGGACAGUUUGGAACUUUCCAUUUUAGGACUGGUGGGAUGCAUGCCCAUGCCCAUGCCCAACAAAACUCUGGUGGCUCAACUGUCAGGAUGCUUAUUCAGCUGUUGCCUGUCCUACUGCUGCUGUUGCUCAACUUCCUUCCAUCCUCUGAGCCUGUCUACUCGCUGUCCCGUUCAUACCCUUAUGAGCAUAAGUUCCAAACCCCACGUGGAGUUGCAUACUAUGUCAAGAUGUCUAAUUUCGAGGAACAGUAUCCAUACCAAAGCACUGAGCGAGCGACGCUGGAGCGGCAUGUUGAGAGGGAUUAUUACUCCAUAAUCACACAGAAUUGCAGGGUUGAGCUGCAGCGUCGCCAAUGGGGGCUGUCAUACCAGACACCACAUUGUGAUAUGCUUAAAAAUUUUGAGGCUGCAGCAAAGUAAUAACUCAUCCAAUUCUGUAAGGAGACUAUCACAGGCUGGCUCUCAGCACUGUAUCCAGGUCUGAGGAAAAACCAGAAAAGGCUAAGUCAUUCCAGCCGCCAAACCCACUGUGUUUGUGUGUUGACAGGCGGAGAGAGACUGCUGGCCACUCAUGUAAAGGCGCUGCCUUAGCCGCCAGCUUCAAGUUUGAGGGGACAUUUUAGUUUGGCUUAGUAGUAAAUUUUGUGGAAUAAGUGCCUUUGAUAACUAUACACCACUGUCCAGAUGCUCCCUCUUAGUAGUGGCAAGGAGUGCGUUAAGUAGUUACUUCAAAAAGAUAUGCAAGCUUCAUAGGGGUUGAUCACAUGCAAACCAGUGUAUGUAUAUGAAGUAUAUCUAUCUCAUUCUUUUAACUUUUUUGAAGUGAAGACUGUAGUUAAAACAGAAAUGCAACUAUAACACAAAUGUGAUAUUCAUUUUAUAUUA